Molecule: ribosomal RNA, 1470 nt
Filed under: uncultured Bordetella sp.
Lineage: Bacteria; Pseudomonadati; Pseudomonadota; Betaproteobacteria; Burkholderiales; Alcaligenaceae
Description: partial 16S-23S ribosomal RNA intergenic spacer
Rfam family: Bacterial small subunit ribosomal RNA
Source: RNAcentral
UUCGAUUAUGGCUCAGAUUGAACGCUGGCGGGAUACUUUACACGCGCAGUCGAACGGCAGCACGGACUUCGGUCUGGUGGCGAGUGGCGAACAGGUGAAGUAAUGUAUCGGAACGUGCCUAGUAGCGGGGGAUAACUACGCGAAAGCGUAGCUAAUACCACAUACGCCCUUCGGGGGAAAGCGGGGACCUUCCUGGGCCUCGCACUAUUGAAGCGGCCGAUAUCGGAUUAACUAGUUGGUGGGAAAGUAACGGCUCACCAAAGCGACGAUCCGUAGCUGGUUCAGAGGACGACCAGCCACACUGGACGGGGCAGCUGAACUCUGGGAGGCAGCAGUGGGGGUACGGACAAUGGGAAGCCUGAUCAGCCAUCCCCGCGGCGUGUGCGAUAAAGGCCAGCCUUCGGGUUGUAAAGCGCACGGGAGAAAGAGCAACAGGAUAAUACCCCGUGCAACUGACGGUACAGAAUGACACCGGCUAACUACGUGCCAGCAACCGCGGUAAUGCGUAGGGUGCAAGCUUCGUUAAUCAGAUUACUGGGCGUAAAGCGUGCGCAGGCGGUUCGGAAAGAAGAUGUGAAAUCCCGGAAAUUAACUUUUGGAACUGCAUUUUUAACUACCGAGCUAGAGUGUGUCAGAGGGAGGUGGGAAUUCCGCGUGUAGCAGUGAAAUGCGUAGAUAUGCGGAGGAACACCGAUGGCGAAGGCGGCCUCUGGGAUAACACUGACGCUCAUGCACGAAAGCGUGGGGAGCAAACAGGAUUAGAUACCUGGUAGUCCACGCCUAAAACGAUGUCAACUAGCUGUUGGGGCCUUCGGGCCUUGGUAAGCGCAGCUAACGCGUGAGAUUGACCGCCUGGGGAGUACGGUCGCAAGAUUAAAACUCAAAGGAAUUGGCGGGGACCCGCACAAGCGGUGGAUGAUGUGGAUUGAAUUCGUGCAACGCGAAAACCUUACCUACCCUUGACAUGUCUGGAAUCCCGAAGGGUUGGGAGUGCUCGCAAGAGAACCGGAACACAGGUGCUGCAUGGCUGUCGUCAGCUCGUGUCGUGAGAUGUUGGGUUAAGUCCGCAACGAGCGCAGCCCUUGUCGUGCUAGUUGCUACGAAAGGGCACUCUAAUGAGACUGCCGGUGACAAACCGGAGGAGGUGGGGAUGACGUCAAAUCACCAUGGCCCUUAUGGGUAGGGCUUCACACGUCAUACAAUGGUCGGGACAGAGGUCGCCAACCCGCGAGAGGCCAAUCCCAGAAACCCGAUCGUAGUCGGAUCACCAGUCUGCAACUCGACUGCGUGAAGUCGGAAUCGCUGGCUCCCGCUUGGAUCAGCAUGUCGCGGUGAAUACGUUCCCGGGUCUUAACACACCGCCCCGUCACACCAUGGGGUGGGUUUUACCAGAAGUAGUUAGCCUAACCGUAAGGAGGGCGAUUACCACGGUAAGUUCAUGACUGGGGAGUGAAGUCGUAACAAAGGUAA